Molecule: ribosomal RNA, 468 nt
Filed under: uncultured bacterium
Lineage: Bacteria
Description: partial 16S ribosomal RNA
Rfam family: Bacterial small subunit ribosomal RNA
Source: RNAcentral
GACGAACGCUGGCGGCGUGCUUAACACAUGCAAGUCGAACGGAAAGGCCCUGCUUUUGUGGGGUGCGCGGGGGGCGAACGGGUGAGUUACACGUGAGUUACCUGUCCUUGACUGUGGGGUAACUUCAUGAAACUGGGGCUAAUACCGGCUAGGAGCUCCUGCUGCAUGGUGGGGGUUGGAAAGUUUCGGUGGUUGGGGGUGGACUCGCGGCUUAUCAGAUUGUUGGUGGGGUAGUGGCUGACCAAGGCUUUGACGGGUAGCCGGCCUGAGAGGGGGACAGGCCACGCUGCGAUUGGAAUACGGCACAGACUCGAACGGGAGGCGACAGUGGGGAAGAGUACACAGGGGGAGGAGGCAUGAUGCAGCCACGCAGCGUGGGGGGUGACGGCCAUCGGGUUGUAAAGCGAUUUCGCCUGUGACGGAGCGAGAGUGACGGUAAUGGGUAAAGAAGCACCGGCUAACUACGUG